GCGGCCUAUCAGCUUGUUGGUGAGGUAAUGGCUCACCAAGGCGACGACGGGUAGCCGGCCUGAGAGGGUGACCGGCCACACUGGAACUGAGACACGGUCCAGACUCCUACGGGAGGCAGCAGUGGGGAAUAUUGCACAAUGGGCGAAAGCCUGAUGCAGCAACGCCGCGUGAGGGAUGAAGGCCUUCGGGUUGUAAACCUCUUUUAGCAGGGAAGAAGCGAAAGUGACGGUACCUGCAGAAAAAGCACCGGCUAACUACGUGCCAGCAGCCGCGGUAAUACGUAGGGUGCAAGCGUUGUCCGGAAUUAUUGGGCGUAAAGAGCUCGUAGGCGGUUUGUCGCGUCUGCUGUGAAAAUCCGAGGCUCAACCUCGGACCUGCAGUGGGUACGGGCAAACUAGAGUGCGGUAGGGGAGACUGGAAUUCCU
This 426-nucleotide ribosomal RNA is filed under the name uncultured Actinomycetes bacterium. Its description in RNAcentral is "bacterial SSU rRNA". It matches the Rfam family "Bacterial small subunit ribosomal RNA", at positions 233 to 671 of the family's 1533-position model. The record is from RNAcentral. Lineage: Bacteria; Bacillati; Actinomycetota; Actinomycetes.